Molecule: ribosomal RNA, 852 nt
Filed under: uncultured bacterium
Lineage: Bacteria
Description: bacterial SSU rRNA
Rfam family: Bacterial small subunit ribosomal RNA
Source: RNAcentral
GACGAACGCUGGCGGCGUGCCUAACACAUGCAAGUCGAGCGAUGAAGCUCCUUCGGGAGUGGAUUAGCGGCGGACGGGUGAGUAACACGUGGGUAACCUGCCUCAUAGAGGGGAAUAGCCUCCCGAAAGGGAGAUUAAUACCGCAUAAUGUAUGAGAAUCGCAUGAUUUUUGUACCAAAGGAGCAAUCCGCUAUGAGAUGGACCCGCGGCGCAUUAGCUAGUUGGUGAGGUAAAGGCUCACCAAGGCGACGAUGCGUAGCCGACCUGAGAGGGUGAUCGGCCACAUUGGAACUGAGAUACGGUCCAGACUCCUACGGGAGGCAGCAGUGGGGAAUAUUGCGCAAUGGGGGAAACCCUGACGCAGCAACGCCGCGUGAGCGAUGAAGGUCUUCGGAUCGUAAAGCUCUGUCUUUUGGGACGAUAAUGACGGUACCAAAAGAGGAAGCCACGGCUAACUACGUGCCAGCAGCCGCGGUAAUACGUAGGUGGCGAGCGUUGUCCGGAAUUACUGGGCGUAAAGGGUGCGUAGGCGGAUAUUUAAGUCAGAUGUGAAAUACCCAGGCUUAACUUGGGAGUUGCAUUUGAAACUGGAUAUCUAGAGUGCAGGAGAGGAAAGCGGAAUUCCUAGUGUAGCGGUGAAAUGCGUAGAGAUUAGGAAGAACACCAGUGGCGAAGGCGGCUUUCUGGACUGUAACUGACGCUGAGGCACGAAAGCGUGGGUAGCAAACAGGAUUAGAUACCCUGGUAGUCCACGCUGUAAACGAUGAAUACUAGGUGUAGGAGGUGUCAUGCCUUCUGUGCCGCAGUUAACACAAUAAGUAUUCCGCCUGGGGAGUACGGUCGCAAGAUUAA